UUUACUAAACUCAAUAAUCAAUUAAACGUUAAAUUAAAUCUAACAAUAGUGCAACCAAGAUGAAAGAUUUAUUAAACUAACAAACUUCUACAAAAUAAAAACAAACUGAAUAAAUAAACAAGAAAAUGAUAACCAACGAACAAGAACAUAGUCAAACAUAUAUUGAUUUUAGAUCCGAAAAAAUCAAACAAAAGACGGAAAAAAUGAAACUUAAACCAACUAACCGGAUCAGAACAACGAUAAACUCGAACAGAAACAGAUCUGCCCGGAAAUUUUGAAACCCAAAUUAACUUGAAUCUGGCCAGAAUCUCAACAAUGAUCUCGACGAACCCACGACCAACUUGGCGAAUAUAUAUAUACAUACAUGUAUAUAUGUACAUAUAUAUAGACGAGGGUGGGGUUUGGACGCUGGGCUGCUCGUUUUGUUUCGAACCUGGGGGGUCGUUUGGUGAGCUUGACGAUGAGCUGGUCGUUCAUGGUCAUGACGAGGUGGUUUGAGAGAUGGAUGCUGGUUUUGACGAGUGACGGGGACGACAAAAAGCUGCUCGUUUUUCAGUGGGGGUGACGACGGGCACGUUUGGUUGAGAAGACGAAGACGAUGGGGAAGGUGACUGAUUUGAACUGGUUUGGUUGUGUUGACGUCGCUGGUGUUAGGGGACGAUAGGAAGGGCUGUUUGGCAUGAAGUUCAGGCGAAGGGGAAACUGGUUCGCCCGAAAUGGCUGGGCGGCGGGAGAGGCAGCAGGGGGUUCAUCUGGUGGGGGUUGUUGUUUUGGGUGGUUUAUGGUUUGGGAGGUGUGGUAUCUUGAAGAAAAAGAA
This 817-nucleotide long non-coding RNA is filed under the name Nicotiana benthamiana. Its description in RNAcentral is "long non-coding RNA (NBEN_LNC016243)". Lineage: Eukaryota; Viridiplantae; Streptophyta; Magnoliopsida; Solanales; Solanaceae. The record is from RNAcentral.